Molecule: ribosomal RNA, 626 nt
Filed under: uncultured bacterium
Lineage: Bacteria
Description: bacterial SSU rRNA
Rfam family: Bacterial small subunit ribosomal RNA (bases 1-525)
Source: RNAcentral
CCUACGGGAGGCAGCAGUGGGGAAUAUUGCACAAUGGGCGAAAGCCUGAUGCAGCGACGCCGCGUGAGGGAUGACGGCCUUCGGGUUGUAAACCUCUUUCAGCAGGGAAGAAGCGAAAGUGACGGUACCUGCAGAAGAAGCGCCGGCUAACUACGUGCCAGCAGCCGCGGUAAUACGUAGGGCGCAAGCGUUGUCCGGAAUUAUUGGGCGUAAAGAGCUCGUAGGCGGCUUGUCACGUCGGAUGUGAAAGCCCGGGGCUUAACCCCGGGUCUGCAUUCGAUACGGGCUAGCUAGAGUGUGGUAGGGGAGAUCGGAAUUCCUGGUGUAGCGGUGAAAUGCGCAGAUAUCAGGAGGAACACCGGUGGCGAAGGCGGAUCUCUGGGCCAGUUACUGACGCUGAGGAGCGAAAGCGUGGGGAGCGAACAGGAUUAGAUACCCUGGUAGUCCACGCCGUAAACGUUGGGAACUAGGUGUUGGCGACAUUCCACGUCGUCGGUGCCGGCNGCUACGACAUAGUUACCCGUCCGUCGGGAGGUACGGCCGGCGACGGACGUAAACCGUUAAACGGUAAGUUAAGUACGGUCGUUGAGACGUUAGCCGAACGGACGACGACGAGGGAGGUUAGG